This 5159-nucleotide long non-coding RNA is filed under the name Sus scrofa (pig). RNAcentral's name for it is "lncRNA (ENSSSCG00050026773.1)". The record is from RNAcentral. Lineage: Eukaryota; Metazoa; Chordata; Mammalia; Artiodactyla; Suidae.
CUUCCUCUAAGAUAAAAGGCCAGUUGGUAGCUAUUUGAGGCUCUGUGGGCCCCCGUCCUCUCAUUUGCAGCUACUCAGCUCCGCCACGGCAGGGCAAGAGUGUUCACAGACAGUGUGUACUGAGUGGGUGUGGCAGUGUCAAUAAAUCUUUAUUUUUACAAAAACAGGCAGCCAGUCCAAGAACUGUCAUUGUCGGGUCUCCAAGAUGAGGAGCCGUGAGUGUCACGCGGACGCAUCACGAUGGCCUGUGGCAUCCAAAAAUGGAGACAGGUUUUCACAUCGACCCGCGCAGAAAGUGAGACAGAACGUCAGAGAGAGGGGGUCUGGUCCUCUCAUUUGGCACCCCCAGACCUCACUCUGCAUCUUUUUCCCUGGAGAGGGAGAGGUUUGGUCACAGAAGCCAGCGGCAUCGGCCUGGGGCAGAUGGACCUCGCCAGCUUGGGUGCGCCCUUCCUGAAGCCCCGGCCUUGGCCCCGCAGGCUCCCUUCCUGCGUGACCUCACUGUACAGGCUGCCCCUGUGGGUUGACCUUGACCCUCUGUCACCGGCUUGUUCUGCCAAGGAAGGAAGGGUAUUGGAAGGAGGGCCUUGGGCUGGCGGUGUGGCUCCACAGUGGGUUAAGAGGUAGUUAUCGUGGCAUUUUGUUCUGAUUGCUGGGGGCGGUAUAUAGGAAAAGGAAAUUUCUGCGCGUUCUGCUCAUUAGCAGUGACUUUCAGUUUGUUUAUCUCCUUACUCCUGACCUCAUUCCACAAAGGCUGGGAGGUGGGCAAGGCCUGCCAAGAUGUGCUGAACAUCUCAGCUGCUUUUCCUUCUCCAGAAAACAGAGGUUGCUGAAGCUCCCAGGGUGAGGCCGGGAGCUGCUGAGACUCGGCUGUCCCCUUUCCCAAGGGUCCAGGGUCACUGACACCUUGCCCUGCGCGGCUGCGUGUGUCUAAUGUCCAGGGGGGGAGGCGGAGCCUUUGGGAAAAUCUUUGAAUUUUUCCAGGCGGUCUAGAACUGGGAUGGGGCCCACAGUGUGGAUUCAACUUCUCUGGGAGCCCAGCUGGCCCUGGCGUCUGAGGUAGGGUGGUCCCUGCGUGCUUGUUUUCAGGGUCUGGAGAACCACUGGCCACACCGCCUGGAAGAAACGGCUGAGGGUCGAGCCCCCCGAGUUACCAGCCCCAGAAUUCUUUCUCCCCUUCCCCGGCCAGUCCUACCGUUCCUUCCACGACUGUUUUAUUUUCAUUCUCUCUUCCUAUGGCUGCGAGAGACUGCUAAUUUAUGUUUUUAUUCUUUCUUUCUUUCUUUAUGUAUUUUUUAUUUUUGCUUUUUAGCAUAUGGAGGUUCCCAGGCUGGGGGUCGAAUUGGAGCUGCAGCCGCUGACCUCACCACAGCUCGCGGCAACACCGGAUCCUUAACCCACUGAGCGAGGCCAGGAAUCGAACCUGCCUCCUCAUGGAUACUAGUUGGGUUUGUUUCCGCUGCACCACGAUGGGAACUCCUUUUUAUUUAUUUUUUAAGACUGCAUCUAUGGCUUAUGGAAGUCCCCAGGCUAGGGGUCAAAUCAGAGCUCCAGCUGCUGGCCUGCACCACAGUCACAGCCACAGCCACAGCCACGCGGGAUCUGAGCUGCAUCUGCAACCUAAACCACAGCCCAUGGCAACACUGGAUCCUUAACCCCCCGAGUGAGCCCAGGAAUCGAACCCGCAUCCUCGUGGAUACUAGUUGGGUUCGUUACCGCUGAGCCACGAUGGAAACUGCCUUUUCAAAGUAAUUUAGUGACGCUGCAUCUUCUGUACACCUGCCCACAGGUCUGGGACCUGGCCCACCUGUCCUGUCCCAGGUACCCUUUGAUAAGAGGUCUUGUCAGCCCAGGUGGGCUUAAAUUAGGACCCAAGCCAAGCAGUCGUGUUCACGUUGCCCAUGUGGCCUUAUUGUAGAUAAAUUCAUGGGUUUCUUUAGAUUUUGGCACGUUUAACAUGUUUGAAUAGAGAAUGCCCUUCGCGACUACCUUCAGGGACCCAAGGCUGGAACUGAGAUGCUGGUGCUCGGUUUAGUCUGAAGCAUAUGCCUUCCAGCCUUUGGGUGCAGGUUCCCCCUCUGCCUGGGUGCAGGGAAAGAGGGGGGUCACCUUUGAGGGAGAAGGUUCUGGACUCUUUGGAAGCACAUGUCAAUGUCCGGCUUCUUGCUGGCCAGCGCUCGCCCAUCACUGAUGCUCUGAGUGACUGCGGGGUGAGCAGAGGAGGGAUCCCUGCCAGGCACUGCCUGGGGGAAGGGGUUGUCUGAGUGCCUUUGGGGUGCGGUGCCAGGGUGGGGGGCACAAGUUUCUGGCUCCCCCACCACCUGCCUCCCUCCCCACCAUGCCCCCAUCCCCCCCACCGAGGGCACGAUGCCUCAUCACUGCAGACAGGAGGCGCUCAGGGAGCUCAGUAUCGGGUCCACAGGCCCUCAGCUUCUGCCCGAUGCCAGGGAGUGGCUGGUCUCCAAGUUCACCAGGGGCCACCACACAGCUCGGGGGUGGAUCCCGUCGGCAGCAACCGCCCACAGCGGUGACUGUCCCCCUUCAGCUGCACACCCCGUCAUCACGCCCGGGCGGCCUUUUCCAUUUCCAAGGUCAGCUCUGAGCGGGGUCCCAGAGGGUCCCCGCUCUGGGGGCUGCACAGAGCCUGGAAGUCUGGGGCAGGGGCAGACCCACGAGGAAGAAGCCUCUCCGACUGAAGCAGUCUUGGGAGGACAGGGGCCACCCAGCACCCAGGACCUCUCUGCGAUGCCCAUUGGCUGGAAGGUGGGGUGACAGGGGCUGGGGCGGGCGUAUGGCAAAAGGAUUCUUUAGACCUCAAGAAGCAAGGUGGCAGCUUCCUGCUGUGCUGGGCUGUAACGAUGCCUUCAGGUGUGUGUGUUGGGGGGUCCCUUUUAGACCUGCAUCCCCGUCAGCUCAGAGCCUGGGCACGUCUGCGUUGUUUCCACCCCGGUGGUGGCAUUUACAGGCGUGGACUGAGCUCACUGUGGAUGCUCUCGUGGGUCCUUGCUCACGUGGCACUUGACGCCCUUUCUGUCUGCUGAGGCCGCAGGGACGAGAAGGGGGCUGGCGGGCAGAGGAGCAGCUGCUGCCUUGGUGCUCGGUGGCUGGGAACCUUCUUCCCACGGCUAAGCCUCUGUUUCCUCCUCUGGGAAGUGGGGCGUUAACUGAGAUAACGCGUGGAAGGGCCCAGCCUGGUGCCUGGGCAUGCUGGACACCUGGAAAGGCAGCUGCCAUUCAUUCUGUCCAGGUGGGCUGUGGCAUCAAACGGCCGAGGACAGGAAUCAGGGGCCCCUCUGCGCGUCUCCACGGACAGAACCUUUCAGUGGCUGCCCCUGCCCCAAGUUCCCAGGGUUCUUGGUGGAGGGUGGGGGGGUCGUUUGGCCCAAGUCCCUCCCCAGCCAGAGACCCGGGCACAGGGAGCGGGAGGGGCUUGCUCAGGCUGUUCGCUGUUCUAGGCAGCGGGAUACAGAGAUGAGGGCUCAGCCCCUGGAGGAUGCCAGGCAAAGGGACUGGGAGCCGUGCGAUGCCUUCAGGGACCAUCGAGGGAGGCUGAGAGCUCUGGAAGGGGCCUGAGCCGGGACAUGAAAGAGGCGAAGCCAUUCCCCGUGGAGGAUGGGAGGCCACUGGAGGCGGAGGGAGUGACGGCACUCGGGGUGUUCUGGGCCCUGCGAGUAGCCAGCUUGACGUCGGGAGCCUAGGACACGGUGCAGAGGGGGUGGAACAGGUCACCAGCAGCAGAUCAAGGGGUGCACAGGUGCCAGGCUUGGGGGUCUGUUGUUUCUCCCUUGUCUUGGGAGAUGGAGGGUUCCCAGCUGUGUGACUUAGGAAGAAUCACUUCACCUCUCUGAGCCUUCCGUGGUCAUCUGUAAACUGGGGAAGCUGGUGAUGCUGAUGGUUACGGGGCUCGAAUAAGGGUCUAGACGUGCGCAGCCCUAGUGCACGGGAGCAUUGCCCUGUCACCUUUUGUGCCCCCCCCCAACCCCAGGGUCUGAUGUGUUAAUUGUGUGUGACAGCUUUUCAACUAGUGAUCACUCUUAAGCCGUUGAUGGUCAAUUUGUUUUUCAGGCUUUCUUUAAAAUGAGUCUCGGUUUGGCUUCCAGGGGUAGGAAUCCCUGGCUGGAGUUGCUUUUUCCUCUGUAGAAAUAUUUGCAUGGGCCGCUGGCCACUUCUCCUGGGAAACUGGAUGCUCUGUGGCAUUGCUCCCGUCCUUAGGAGAAUGCUGGGGGCCUGGAAAGUUGGACGAUGUGUGUCCACUCUCUGACCCACCUCAAGGCCCAGGCCGCGCCUCCCCAUGCCGGGCCGGGCUAUGCCUGCUUCCCUAGGUCAGCAGAGUGUGGUCUGGGAGGCAGAAAGGCCCGAGGCAGCUGGCCCUGGGUGGGGAGGCCCAGCUCCCUUUGGCAGAGGGGAGGCUUCCCAUUUAGUUUGGAUCAGCAAAUAUUGAUGGAGGGCCGGUGUGUGCCAGCCUGGGGAAGGGCCCCCCAGGUGACCCCCACGCAGGCCCUGUCCUCAGUGAGCUCCCUGCUCCCGAGUUCCUUCUGGGUUGACCUGGAGGCGGCCGUGCCAGCCUCCUGCCGUGUGCUGGGGAGUCCAGAACCAGGAACCUGGCCUGAGGGGCGGGCCACACAGCACGGGUGGGGGCAGGAGGGGGAGAGGACACAGAUGCCUCCCACCCCAGUGUCACGACCAAGGUGGCAUCCCCAGGUACUGGGCUGAGAAUCCUUCACCUUUGGGGGAGCAGACAAAGCGCCCUUGGCCUCCAGAGGAGGCCUGUCGAGGUUGGAGGGCUGCCAGCUGUGCGUUCUGGAGCCAAGUGCACGGCCUAGACCCCUGGCCCUGAUGGCCGAUGUGCCAGCAUCUCGAGCCCUGGCACUGACCGUGCAGUGCAACCGGCCUUUCGGUGCUUGGCACCAGCUCAGCUGUGGGCUUCCUGAAACUGGGAUGACAAAGCUCCAAACGGGAUUUCAGCCGCCCCUGCCCACCCGAGUGGAAUCCGCCCUCCCUGCAGUCUGACCAGGCCUGGGCGCCGAGGCCGGGGCAGUGGGUGGGCUCGCCUGUCCGUGGUGUGGACCCCGCAGCAGCUCAGAUCUCUGCACACGCGUGGGUGAGCCCGGGGUGGUGGUGGGGUUCACUGCUGUUCACCCACCCUGGGUUAAUAAGAU